GGACUUUCACAUCCCGCCCGGCACGCCUAUAUUAGGGAUGUCGGGAGACCGACUAUGGCGAUAAACGCCUUGUGAAAUAAGCGUUGCGGACCCGGGGGCGGUACCCGGCGCCUCCACCAUUUAACCUUACCUAUCAAUCAGUUGCUGAUUGCCGGUCGGGCUCCAUGGGGGCGAAACAGGAUCGACGUGCGCGGUAAAGACAUGGCUUUUGCUCGGUAUGAUACCCGCCGUUAUCGGGUCAAACCUAGAGAUGCCAACGACAACGUUGCAUCCGAUCUUCGUAUGGCUGCCUAACAUCCCUAACGGGCUGUAAGUAGCUUACAAAGAACGCGGUACCAGGGGGCGCCGGGCAACGAAAGCCCCCCACC
This 368-nucleotide transfer-messenger RNA is filed under the name Rhodospirillaceae bacterium. It matches the Rfam family "Alphaproteobacteria transfer-messenger RNA". Rfam says of the family: Bacterial tmRNA, also known as 10Sa RNA or SsrA, is named for its dual tRNA and mRNA-like properties. Its role is to liberate the mRNA from a stalled ribosome. To accomplish this part of the tmRNA is used as a reading frame that ends in a translation stop signal. Lineage: Bacteria; Pseudomonadati; Pseudomonadota; Alphaproteobacteria; Rhodospirillales; Rhodospirillaceae. The record is from RNAcentral.